This 432-nucleotide ribosomal RNA is filed under the name uncultured bacterium. RNAcentral describes it as "partial 16S ribosomal RNA". It matches the Rfam family "Bacterial small subunit ribosomal RNA", at positions 29 to 506 of the family's 1533-position model. The record is from RNAcentral.
AACGAACGCUGGCGGCAUGCCUAACACAUGCAAGUCGAACGAGACCUUCGGGUCUAGUGGCGCACGGGUGCGUAACGCGUGGGAACCUGCCCUUAGGUUCGGAAUAACUCCCCGAAAGGGGUGCUAAUACCGGAUAAUGUCUUCGGACCAAAGAUUUAUCGCCUUUGGAUGGGCCCGCGUUGGAUUAGCUAGUUGGUAGGGUAAAAGCCUACCAAGGCGACGAUCCAUAGCUGGUCUGAGAGGAUGAUCAGCCACACUGGGACAGGGACACGGCCCAGACUCCUACGGAAGGCAGCAGUGGGGAAUAUUGGACAAUGGGCGAAAGCCUGAGCCAGCAAUGCCGCGUAAGUGAUGAAGGCCUUAGGGUUGUAAAGCUCUUUUACCCGGGAUGAUAAUGACAGUACCGGGAGAAUAAGCUCCGGCUAACUCCGU